RNAcentral lists this transfer RNA (64 nucleotides) under Caudoviricetes sp. Its description in RNAcentral is "tRNA-OTHER". Lineage: Duplodnaviria; Heunggongvirae; Uroviricota; Caudoviricetes. The record is from RNAcentral.
AUAGCCGUUUCAUGUUGCGUUCGGGACGCAAAGGCCGCAGGUUCGAAUCCUGUCAUCCCGACCA